Non-coding RNA from Paramuricea clavata, 83 nucleotides. NCBI's taxonomy places the organism in Eukaryota, Metazoa, Cnidaria, Anthozoa, Malacalcyonacea, Plexauridae. The record is from the annotation of a GenBank genome assembly.
GCCUCAUUAGCUCAGUGGUUAGAGCACUGGUCUUGUCAACCAUGCAGGGGUCCGGAGUUAAAUUCUCUGACGCAUAUGUGGCU